UACGUAGGGUGCAAGCGUUGUCCGGAAUUAUUGGGCGUAAAGAGCUCGUAGGCGGUCUGUCGCGUCGGCUGUGAAAACCCGAGGCUCAACCUCGGGCCUGCAGUCGAUACGGGCAAACUAGAGUACUGCAGGGGAGACUGGAAUUCCUGGUGUAGCGGUGAAAUGCGCAGAUAUCAGGAGGAACACCAACGGCGAAGGCAGCACUCUGGGCUGGUACUGACGCUGAGGAGCGAAAGCGUGGGGAGCAAACAGG
RNAcentral lists this ribosomal RNA (253 nucleotides) under uncultured bacterium. RNAcentral's name for it is "partial 16S ribosomal RNA". It matches the Rfam family "Bacterial small subunit ribosomal RNA", at positions 524 to 776 of the family's 1533-position model. The record is from RNAcentral.